UGUGAUAAAGACCAUGACCAAAAGCAA
This 27-nucleotide non-coding RNA is filed under the name Rattus norvegicus (Norway rat). The record is from RNAcentral. Lineage: Eukaryota; Metazoa; Chordata; Mammalia; Rodentia; Muridae.